GAUGAACGCUGGCGGCGUGCUUAACACAUGCAAGUCGAACGGGAUCCAAGGGGUGCUUGCACUUUUUGGUGAGAGUGGCGAACGGGUGAGUAACACGUGAGUAACCUGUCCUUUUCUUUGGGAUAAGCAUUCGAAAGGGUGUUUAAUACCUUAUGUUCUGUCUGCCUCGCAUGGGGUGGGUGGGAAAGGCUUUGGCCGGAUUUGGGUGGGCUCGCGGUCUGUCAGCUUGUUGGUGGGGUGAUGGCUUACCAAGGCUUUGACGGGUAGCCGGCCUGAGAGGGUGGUCGGUCAGAUUGGGACUGAGCUGCGGCCGAGACUCCUGCGGGAGGCAGCAGUGGGGGAUAUUGCACAAUGGGCGAAAGCCUGAUGCAGCGACGCCGCGUGGGGGAUGAAGGCCUUCGGGUUGUAAACUUCUUUUGCUCUUAACAAGGCAUGCCAGUGGGUGUGUUGAGUGUAGGGGUUGAUUAGCGCCGGCUAACUACGUG
RNAcentral lists this ribosomal RNA (485 nucleotides) under uncultured bacterium. RNAcentral describes it as "partial 16S ribosomal RNA". It matches the Rfam family "Bacterial small subunit ribosomal RNA", at positions 28 to 507 of the family's 1533-position model. The record is from RNAcentral.